CACAUCUCUAUUACUCACAUUCUUUCUCUUUUCCUUUCCUUUCUCUGUUAUCAUUUGUUAUCUUUCCCCUCCUUUAUCUCUUUCCUACUCUGUAUAUCUAUACAAAACUAUCCAUUCAAUAAUAGAAAAUAAAAAGAAGAAAAUAACACCAUUUGUUUUUUAUCAAGUAUCACAUUUUGUUUAUUUAUUUUUGACGGAUCAACUAGUUGCAUUUUACCUUAAUUGGUUGUUUUGUUCUGUUUUGUUUUGUUUUCAUGAAUGCUUAGAUAUCACAUUUAUAUAUCAAAAUUAUUUGGAGGAAGAUAAUGGAAAAUGCAGUGCCAAGGGAAGGAGAAUUAGCUUUCUUUUUAUCCUUCAUGUCUUUAUGUAUGGUGUCACCGUUGCUCUAAUAAGGCUUUUGGCGUGGGGAUAUAUAGUUUCUUCCAUGGGUAACAAGAUGAAGGGGAUCUUCAAAGGAUUCAAAUUUAUAUUUAAUAAUUUUGAUGAGUCAAUUCAAGAAAGGGCCGGAUUUUGCAGUAGCUUCUAUUGGUAAUUCUGGCACUUCCCUUUCUCCAUGGACAUCUCAAGAUGGAGAUUCAAAUGGAGCGCAAUCAACAUCUGAGAUUAACAAGGACAGUCCGACUAAUAAGGAGGCUAGUGUUAAGAAGCAGAGGAGGAGGAAGUGCAAGGCGACUUCUUCACCGAAAUCUAGUUCAUCAUCAAGAGCAGAGAAAUCCAAGACUAAAUUUGUAGGACAAUCCAAACCAACAAAUAUAGAAGUGGCUUAAUGCCAGGAAAAAAAAAACAGAUCUUGAUUAUUCUGCCUAUCGAUUUUUUUUUGUUAAAUCCUGGCGAUGGUCAACUAUACAAAGACAUUGAAGAGGACAGUAAGGAGGGAAUAGAAAAUCGCUUAAAUACCAGAAGGGAUGCAUUGUAAAUGUGAAUGUGAAAUACAGAAGAAAAGUGUCUAGAGAUGUGAAACAAAAAUUGUAAAAUCUAAUCUCUAAAUGGAGAGAAAUGCUUUUGGGAAAAAAAUUAA
This is an RNA transcript of Capsicum annuum, 1018 nucleotides long. It is a transcript of the gene named CRIB domain-containing protein RIC10, with no coding region annotated. The record is from RefSeq and is a predicted model, not a curated record. NCBI's taxonomy places the organism in Eukaryota, Viridiplantae, Streptophyta, Magnoliopsida, Solanales, Solanaceae. The transcript has 4 exons.